RNAcentral lists this transfer RNA (76 nucleotides) under Candidatus Yanofskybacteria bacterium RIFCSPHIGHO2_02_FULL_39_10. RNAcentral describes it as "tRNA-Ala". It matches the Rfam family "tRNA". From Rfam's summary of the family: Transfer RNA (tRNA) molecules are approximately 80 nucleotides in length. Their secondary structure includes four short double-helical elements and three loops (D, anti-codon, and T loops). Lineage: Bacteria; Candidatus Yanofskyibacteriota. The record is from RNAcentral.
GGGCCCUUAGCUCAUUUGGUAGAGCGCCUCAUUUGCAAUGAGGAGGUGACCAGUUCGAAUCUGGUGCGGUUCACCA